GAUCUGGCUCAGGAUGAACGCUGGCGGCGUGCUUAACACAUGCAAGUCGAACGGGAAAUACUUUAUUGAAACUUUGGUGGAUUUAAUUUAUUUCUAGUGGCGGACGGGUGAGUAACGCGUGGGUAACCUGCCUUAUACUGGGGGAUAACAGCCAGAAAUGACUGCUAAUACCGCAUAAGCGCACAGAACCGCAUGGUUCGGUGUGAAAAACUCCGGUGGUAUAAGAUGGACCCGCGUUGGAUUAGCUGGUUGGCAGGG
RNAcentral lists this ribosomal RNA (258 nucleotides) under uncultured bacterium. Its description in RNAcentral is "partial 16S ribosomal RNA". It matches the Rfam family "Bacterial small subunit ribosomal RNA", at positions 15 to 257 of the family's 1533-position model. The record is from RNAcentral.